RNAcentral lists this transfer RNA (50 nucleotides) under Cyclosa japonica. Its description in RNAcentral is "tRNA-Cys". The record is from RNAcentral. Lineage: Eukaryota; Metazoa; Arthropoda; Arachnida; Araneae; Araneidae.
AGUAAUUUAGUUUAUUAAAACAUUAAAUUGCAAGUUUAAAUUUCUAUUUA